This 495-nucleotide ribosomal RNA is filed under the name uncultured bacterium. RNAcentral describes it as "partial 16S ribosomal RNA". It matches the Rfam family "Bacterial small subunit ribosomal RNA", at positions 29 to 506 of the family's 1533-position model. The record is from RNAcentral.
AUGCACGCUGGCGGCGUGCCUCAUCCCUGCAAGUCGAGCGAACAGACGAGGAGCUUGCUCCUCUGACGUUAGCGGCGGACGGGUGAGUAACACGUGGAUAACCUACCUAUAAGACUGGGAUAACUUCGGGAAACCGGAGCUAAUACCGGAUAAUAUAUUGAACCGCAUGGUUCAAUAGUGAAAGACGGUUUUGCUGUCACUUAUAGAUGGAUCCGCGCCGCAUUAGCUAGUUGGUAAGGUAACGGCUUACCAAGGCAACGAUGCGUAGCCGACCUGAGAGGGUGAUCGGCCACACUGGAACUGAGACACGGUCCAGACUCCUACGGGAGGCAGCAGUAGGGAAUCUUCCGCAAUGGGCGAAAGCCUGACGGAGCAACGCCGCGUGAGUGAUGAAGGUCUUCGGAUCGUAAAACUCUGUUAUUAGGGAAGAACAAAUGUGUAAGUAACUAUGCACGUCUUGACGGUACCUAAUCAGAAAGCCACGGCUAACUACGU